UAUAAGUAUAACCUGCCAGACAGGGAAACUGCGUACGGCUCAUUACACCAGCUGUAAUUUACUUGACCUUGACAACCUACUUGGAUAACUGUGGUAAUUCUAGAGCUAAUACAUGCACCAAAGCUCCGAUCCUCGCGGAGAGGAGCGCAUUUGUUCGCCACAAAACCAAGCGCCUUCACAGGCGUUCAGUGUUGACUCAGAACAACUCAGCUGAUCGCACGGUCUCGUACCGGCGACGUGUCUUUCAAGUGUCUGCCUUAUCAACUUUCGAUGGUAGUGUACCUGACUACCAUGGUGAUGACGGGUAACGGAGGAUAAGGGUUCGACUCCGGAGAAGGGGCCUGAGAAAUGGCCACUACGUCUAAGGAUGGCAGCAGGCGCGCAAAUUAACUCUCAACAUGAGGAGGUAGUGACGAGAAAUAACGAGACUGUUCUCACAUGAGGCCAGUUAUUGGAAUGGGUACAAUUUAAACCC
Molecule: ribosomal RNA, 475 nt
Filed under: unidentified nematode Sourhope farm
Lineage: Eukaryota; Metazoa; Nematoda
Description: SSU rRNA
Rfam family: Eukaryotic small subunit ribosomal RNA
Source: RNAcentral